This 73-nucleotide transfer RNA is filed under the name Orbicella faveolata. Its description in RNAcentral is "tRNA-Ile". It matches the Rfam family "tRNA". Rfam says of the family: Transfer RNA (tRNA) molecules are approximately 80 nucleotides in length. The record is from RNAcentral. Lineage: Eukaryota; Metazoa; Cnidaria; Anthozoa; Scleractinia; Merulinidae.
GGUCUGUUAGCUCAGUGGGCAGAGCGUGGUGCUGAUAACGCCAAGGCUGUGAGUUCGACCCUCGCACGGACCA